GACGAACGCUGGCGGCGUGCCUAAUACAUGCAAGUCGAGCGAAGUUUUUCUGGUGCUUGCACUAGAAAAACUUAGCGGCGAACGGGUGAGUCACACGUAAAGAACCUGCCUCAUAGACUGGGACAACUAUUGGAAACGAUAGCUAAUACCGGAUAACAGUAUUUCUCGCAUGAGAGAUAUUUAAAAGUUGGUUAUGCUAACACUAUGAGAUGGCUUUGCGGUGCAUUAGCUAGUUGGCGGGGUAAAGGCCCACCAAGGCGACGAUGCAUAGCCGACCUGAGAGGGUGAUCGGCCACACUGGGACUGAGACACGGCCCAGACUCCUACGGGAGGCAGCAGUAGGGAAUCUUCCGCAAUGGGCGAAAGCCUGACGGAGCAACGCCGCGUGAGUGAAGAAGGAGUUCGGUUCGUAAAGCUCUGUUGUUAGGGAAGAAUGGAUAUGUAGUAACUAUACAUGUAAGAGACGGUACCUAACCAGAAAGCCACGGCUAACUACGUG
Molecule: ribosomal RNA, 499 nt
Filed under: uncultured bacterium
Lineage: Bacteria
Description: partial 16S ribosomal RNA
Rfam family: Bacterial small subunit ribosomal RNA
Source: RNAcentral